CUCUCUUCCGGUUGCGGGAACGCCCUACUAUAGAUAGGCGAUCGACCGUUCCGAUCGCGAGAGA
RNAcentral lists this transfer RNA (64 nucleotides) under Toona sinensis. Its description in RNAcentral is "tRNA-Tyr". The record is from RNAcentral. Lineage: Eukaryota; Viridiplantae; Streptophyta; Magnoliopsida; Sapindales; Meliaceae.